This 253-nucleotide ribosomal RNA is filed under the name uncultured bacterium. Its description in RNAcentral is "partial 16S ribosomal RNA". It matches the Rfam family "Bacterial small subunit ribosomal RNA", at positions 524 to 776 of the family's 1533-position model. The record is from RNAcentral.
UACAGAGGGUGCGAGCGUUAAUCGGAAUUACUGGGCGUAAAGGGUGCGUAGGUGGUUAAUUAAGUUAGAUGUGAAAUCCCUGGGCUUAACCUAGGAAUUGCAUUUAAUACUGGUUGACUAGAGUGUGGUAGAGGGAAGUGGAAUUUCCGGUGUAGCGGUGAAAUGCGUAGAUAUCGGAAGGAACAUCAGUGGCGAAGGCGACUUCCUGGACCACUACUGACACUGAGGCACGAAAGCGUGGGGAGCGAACAGG